UAAGGAAUAUUGCGCAAUGGGGGAAACCCUGACGCAGCAACGCCGCGUGGAGGAUGACACUUUUCGGAGCGUAAACUCCUUUUAUCAGGAAAGAAUAAUGACGGUACCUGAUGAAUAAGCACCGGCUAACUCCGUGCCAGCAGCCGCGGUAAUACGGGGGGUGCAAGCGUUACUCGGAAUCACUGGGCGUAAAGGACGCGUAGGCGGAUUAUCAAGUCUUUUGUGAAAUCUAGUGGCUUAACCACUAAACUGCUUAGGAAACUGAUAGUCUAAAGUAGGGGAGAGGUAGAUGGAAUUCCUGGUGUAGGGGUAAAAUCCGUAGAGGUCAAGAAGAAUACCCCUUGCGAAAACGAUCUGCUGGAACCUAACUGACGCUGAGGCGUGAAAGCGUGGGUAGCAAACAGG
Molecule: ribosomal RNA, 405 nt
Filed under: bacterium
Lineage: Bacteria
Description: partial 16S ribosomal RNA
Rfam family: Bacterial small subunit ribosomal RNA
Source: RNAcentral